AAGUCGUAACAAGGUUUCCGUAGGUGAACCUGCGGAAGGAUCAUUAACACGUAUCCAACGUUAAACCCCCCGUGAACCUUCAGUGCGCUCGCACUUUCUUAGAAAAGGUAGCAAUCCCUGUUGAUUCAGGGACUUCUGCGUAGACUGUGCUUGAGCGUGAGGCAAGUGGCCUGGCAUUCCUCUGCUUGUUGGUGUCUGAAAGUGUCACCAGCUCUGUACGAAUGGCGCAGUCACGAUCGCUAGAGGCCGACACGGCCGGCGACCGGGUCACUGGGCGCGAGCCCCCCUCGUCACCUUUGCAUGAAAACGGGCCUGCGCUUAAUUGUGCGGCCACCAAACUCGAACAACUGUUAACAAUGGAUAUCUUGGUUCUC
RNAcentral lists this unclassified non-coding RNA (374 nucleotides) under fungal sp. RNAcentral's name for it is "partial internal transcribed spacer region". The stretch from base 1 to 46 matches the Rfam family "Eukaryotic small subunit ribosomal RNA", at positions 1786 to 1831 of the family's 1831-position model. Lineage: Eukaryota; Fungi. The record is from RNAcentral.